This 502-nucleotide ribosomal RNA is filed under the name uncultured bacterium. RNAcentral's name for it is "partial 16S ribosomal RNA". It matches the Rfam family "Bacterial small subunit ribosomal RNA", at positions 30 to 523 of the family's 1533-position model. The record is from RNAcentral.
AUUGAACGCUGGCGGCAGGCUUAACACAUGCAAGUCGAGCGGAGUGAUGGUGCUUGCACUAUCACUUAGCGGCGGACGGGUGAGUAAUGCUUAGGAAUCUGCCUAUUAGUGGGGGACAACAUCUCGAAAGGGAUGCUAAUACCGCAUACGCCCUACGGGAGAAAGCAGGGGAUCACUUGUGACCUUGCGCUAAUAGAUGAGCCUAAGUCGAAUAGCUAGUUGGUGGGGUAAAGGCCUACCAAGGCGACGAUCUGUAGCGGGUCUGAGAGGAUGAUCCGCCACACUGGGACUGAGACACGGCCCAGACUCCUACGGGAGGCAGCAGUGGGGAAUAUUGGACAAUGGGGGGAACCCUGAUCCAGCCAUGCCGCGUGUGCGAAGAAGGCCUUAUGGUUGUAAAGCACUUUAAGCGAGGAGGAGGCUCUUUUGGUUAAUACCCAAGAUGAGUGGACGUUACUCGCAGAAUAAGCACCGGCUAACUCUGUGCCAGCCGCCGCGGUAA